UGUCGAGAGAAGCCUCAGGCCAAGCUCCUGCCUUGCUGGCUUGUUUGUGUUACUUUCCGGCCGUUUCUUUUGUUCAGUCCCUUUCAGUGUCCCCAUUUAAACUCCAUUCUGCACGCCCCAUUUGGUUCGAUUAGUUGCUUUGACUGAUCUCCUGUUGCCAAAUAUCUGCAUGCCGAACGACCAAGCUAAGAUUGUUUUACUUCACACGGGUGCCACUGAGACUGGUGCACUGCUGGAGCCAUCAGAGAUUUUCCCGUUGCACUGCGUUUACCUGGCUGGUGAAAUUUUGAAGAUGUGGACCGACGCUUUUUGACACCUGCUUGUUCGCUUCAAGGGACACUGUCUCUAACGGUUGCACAGCAUGGCUGGAAGAAUGAACAGCUAAAACCCCCCAAGGACCCAAGAUGUCAACCUGAUGGAACCAAGAUGGAGUUGGAUGGAGCCUUUGUUCUUCCCAGCAGGCUCCACUUCAUCAAGUACCGAAGCUCUCAUUGCCCCCUUGACCAUUAGGAGGUGGAAAACAAUGCAGAUUGGCCACGCCCCCUCCCCUCCUCGUCUCAAACGGAUCUGAACGUUCAGGAUGUCAUUUUCCAUCUGUCGACUAAUCAUGAUGGCCCACAUCAUUCAAGCACAAGGUCCUUCAGCAGAGCAAGACCCUUCUUUCUUCAAGCUACCUUGAAGAACUAAUCUACUGUGUAGAAGCUACAUCAAAUGAAGAGGGAACUAAUGACAACACUCUUGCAUCUGGAUGGGACAGUGAUCUUUCUUCAAUUAUCUUACUCCUUCACCAAAAGACAAGGAAAAAUGUCUGCAUCCCAUGCUAAGCAUCUUGUUGUGUUGAAGAACUAAUCUUCUGUGUAGAAGCUACAUCAAAUGAAGAGGGAACUAAUGACAACACUCUUGCAUCUGGAUGGGACAGUGAUCUUUCUUCAAUUAUCCUACUCCUUCACCAAAAGACAAGGCAAAAUGUCUCAUUCUGAGUCUUUGAUGAGCUUUUUAAGGCCCAUUUUGUCUUUGGUACUACAACAGAGGUG
This is a long non-coding RNA of Toxotes jaculatrix (banded archerfish), 1034 nucleotides long. RefSeq lists it as uncharacterized. Lineage: Eukaryota; Metazoa; Chordata; Actinopteri; Toxotidae. The record is from RefSeq and is a predicted model, not a curated record. The transcript has 7 exons.